This 169-nucleotide ribosomal RNA is filed under the name Perenniporia substraminea. RNAcentral's name for it is "partial large subunit ribosomal RNA". It matches the Rfam family "Eukaryotic large subunit ribosomal RNA", at positions 99 to 261 of the family's 3401-position model. Lineage: Eukaryota; Fungi; Basidiomycota; Agaricomycetes; Polyporales; Polyporaceae. The record is from RNAcentral.
CGGGAUAAGCUCAAAUUUAAAAUCUGGUGACCUUUGGCCGCCCGAGUUGUAGUCUGGAGAAGUGCUUUCCGCGCUGGACCGUGUACAAGUCUCUUGGAACAGAGCGUCAUAGAGGGUGAGAAUCCCGUCUUUGACACGGACUACCAGUGCUUUGUGAUGCGCUCUCAAA